Molecule: ribosomal RNA, 481 nt
Filed under: uncultured bacterium
Lineage: Bacteria
Description: bacterial SSU rRNA
Rfam family: Bacterial small subunit ribosomal RNA
Source: RNAcentral
GAUGAACGCUAGCGACAGGCCUAACACAUGCAAGUCGAGGGGCAGCACAAGGAGCAAUCUGAGGUGGCGACCGGCGCACGGGUGAGUAACACGUAUGCAACCUGCCUGUAAGCGGGGGAUAACCCGUUGAAGACGGACUAAUACCGCAUAAUACUGGAGAUCUGCAUGGAUAUUCAGUUAAACAUUUAUGGCUUACAGAUGGGCAUGCGCAUGAUUAGAUAGUUGGAGAGGUAACGGCUCCCCAAGUCAACGAUCAUUAGGGGUUCUGAGAGGAAGGUCCCCCACACUGGUACUGAGACACGGACCAGACUCCUACGGGAGGGCAGCAGUGAGGAAUAUUGGUCAAUGGGCGAGAGCCUGAACCAGCCAAGUCGCGUGCAGGAAGAAUGUCCUAUGGAUUGUAAACCUGCUUUUGUCAGGGGAAUAAAAGUGAGCCACGUGUGGUUUUUUGUUAUGUACUCUGCGAAUAAGGAUCGGCUAA